UCCUUUCUGAAAUAUAAUUUAUUAUGUAUUCUUCUCCAUUUUCAGUUUCCAAGAAAACUGUUGUGUCAUGCUUUGGCAAAUGCAGUUUGCAGAAUCGCAUAGGAAGAUGCAUCCAAAAUCCAAUAACAUUUGACCGAACCAAAGCCUUUGCAAAGCUCGGGAAUGAAGCUUCUAAACUUUCUUGAAUCUCCUCUGCCCGCUCCAUAGCAGAAGACUUAGAUUCAGAGCUAUCAUAGAAAUCAUUGACCACGCCUCUCUUUUGUUUGCAGCUUGUAGGCUU
RNAcentral lists this unclassified non-coding RNA (280 nucleotides) under Hevea brasiliensis (rubber tree). Lineage: Eukaryota; Viridiplantae; Streptophyta; Magnoliopsida; Malpighiales; Euphorbiaceae. The record is from RNAcentral.